RNAcentral lists this transfer RNA (96 nucleotides) under Vogesella fluminis. Its description in RNAcentral is "tRNA-Pro". The record is from RNAcentral. Lineage: Bacteria; Pseudomonadati; Pseudomonadota; Betaproteobacteria; Neisseriales; Chromobacteriaceae.
GGCGCAGGUGGGCCGGCACUUGCGGCGGCCGGCCGUCGGACGGCUGGCUGCUGUGAUAGCGCAGCACGCCCAGGUGCAGCUGCCCGAUCUGCAGCU